This 226-nucleotide non-coding RNA is filed under the name Marinovum algicola. The record is from RNAcentral. Lineage: Bacteria; Pseudomonadati; Pseudomonadota; Alphaproteobacteria; Rhodobacterales; Roseobacteraceae.
CCCAUGUGCCCUGACGCUGGUGCCUGUGUAAACAGGUGAAAAGGGAAUGUGUAACCCUGGUGCCCCGUGACGGGACGCCCGGGCGAAACGCAGCCGCCCCCGCGACCGUGAACGGAAAAGGGCGCUCGAAGCCACUGGCCUGACAGGCCGGGAAGGCAGAGCGACCGCCGGGCCCCGGGCCCAGAAUUCCGUGAGCCGGGAGACCUGCCAGCCCGACUGAUGAGAC